Molecule: non-coding RNA, 131 nt
Organism: Vitis vinifera (wine grape)
Lineage: Eukaryota; Viridiplantae; Streptophyta; Magnoliopsida; Vitales; Vitaceae
Gene: MIR845D
Product: microRNA MIR845d
Exons: 1
Source: RefSeq, marked provisional
AUAACCAACAUUAAUUAUCCCUAGGGCCAUGGGAUAAACAAAAACUCUGCAAAACCAAGUUAGCACACCCUAGAAUGGUUCUAGCACAAUUACUAACCUAUGGCUCUGAUACCAAUUGAUGGGAAAAACCU